This 119-nucleotide ribosomal RNA is filed under the name Pteropus alecto (black flying fox). Lineage: Eukaryota; Metazoa; Chordata; Mammalia; Chiroptera; Pteropodidae. The record is from RNAcentral.
GUCUACAUCCAUACCACUCUGAACAAGUCCGACCUCAUCUGAUCUCAGAAGCUAAACAGGGUCGAGCCUAGUUGGUGCUUGGAUGGGAGACCACCUAGGAAGACCAGCUGCUAUAGGCG